Molecule: ribosomal RNA, 494 nt
Filed under: uncultured bacterium
Lineage: Bacteria
Description: bacterial SSU rRNA
Rfam family: Bacterial small subunit ribosomal RNA
Source: RNAcentral
GAUGAACGCUGGCUGUGUGCCUAAUACAUGCAUGUCGAGCGAAGCACUUCGGUGCUUAGCGGCGAAUGGGUGAGUAACACGUACUUAACCUACCUCAUAGUUUGGGACAACAUUUGGAAACGACUGCUAAUACCGAAUAUUCCUUUUCCUCGCAUGGGGAAUUGGUAAAAGGCCCGUUUGGGUCGCCAAGAGAUGAGAGUGCGGUACAUUAGUUAGUUGGUAGGGUAAUGGCCUACCAAGACGAUGAUGUAUAGCGGGGUUGAGAAGCUGAACCGCCACACUGGGACUGAGAUACGGCCCAGACUCCUACGGGAGGCAGCAGUAGGGAAUAUUCCACAAUGAGCGAAAGCUUGAUGGAGCGACACAGCGUGCAGGAUGAAGGUCUUCGGAUUGUAAACUGCUGUUAUAAGGGAAGAAAAACUGGUGUAGGAAAUGACAUCGGCUUGACGGUACCUUAUCAGAAAGCACCGGCAAACUAUGUGCCAGGAGCCGCA